Molecule: long non-coding RNA, 756 nt
Organism: Tupaia belangeri chinensis (Chinese tree shrew)
Lineage: Eukaryota; Metazoa; Chordata; Mammalia; Scandentia; Tupaiidae
Exons: 3
Source: RefSeq, a predicted model, not a curated record
GAUUCGAACCCUGGUCAGCCAUGUGGGAGUCCAGCGUCCUUAAUCAUUAUGCCACCUGCCGGCCCCCAGAAAUACUUCUUAAUUCAAUAAAUACAAAACCUUCAGAGAUGAUAAGACCUUGCCAAGUGAAGAAGAGAGAAAGUGCCCUUCAAGAGAAGGCCCGGUGUGAACAAAGAUUGGAGCAGGUAGAAGCAGGAGUCCUGGACAGUGACCAGGAAUAUCUGCUUCGAAGUUAGCUUCUGGGCAUGCUUCUGCUGGAUUCCGAAACUUCUGGAAUGGAAAGUGAUCUUCUCAGAGCCUCCCCAUGGCCCCUGCAGAAGAAUUCCAGCUAAUUUGGAAGGAACAUGGGACUGGAGAAAUCACCGUUUUGCAACUCCUAGUGAAAUAAUUCAUCAAAGCAAGAAUUGUCAAUGAAUGAAACCAAGGAUGAUAGUUGGUGGAGAACUUUAUACUGGAGGAAUUAAGCUGCCACCAUCUGCCACCACUAGUAAAUCUUAGCAUCACUAACAGUAAUACAACCUGGGACAUGACGAAGUCUGAAGCACUCAGCAGCAACUACGAAGGAUUCUUACCAAAAAACAAAUGAACAAAAAAUAAACAUGAAUCUAAUGAAAGGUCUAAUAGUAACUUUCACUUAAUGGGAAAUACAAGAGAUGGAGGAGCAAAAUAAAUGGCACGUAGAGGAAGGAAUAUGGGACUUUCUAGAGAAAAGUCUGACCUCACUGCUUGAAUCACACAUGAUCCCUGACUUAUGAU